ACAUGCAGAGAACUUCCAAAGAUGGAUUGGUGCCUUCGGGAACUCUGACACAGGUGCUGCAUGGCUGUCGUCAGCUCGUGUCGUGAGAUGUUGGGUUAAGUCCCGUAACGAGCGCAACCCUUGUCCUUAGUUACCAGCACGUUAUGGUGGGCACUCUAAGGAGACUGCCGGUGACAAACCGGAGGAAGGUGGGGAGUGACGUCAAGUCAUCAUGGCCCUUACGGCCUGGGCUACACACGUGCUACAAUGGUCGGUACAAAGGGUUGCCAAGCCGCGAGGUGGAGCUAAUCCCAUAAAACCGAUCGUAGUCCGGAUCGCAGUCUGCAACUCGACUGCGUGAAGUCGGAAUCGCUAGUAAUCGUGAAUCAGAAUGUCACGGUGAAUACGUUCCCGGGCCUU
This 399-nucleotide ribosomal RNA is filed under the name uncultured Pseudomonas sp. RNAcentral describes it as "bacterial SSU rRNA". It matches the Rfam family "Bacterial small subunit ribosomal RNA", at positions 984 to 1382 of the family's 1533-position model. Lineage: Bacteria; Pseudomonadati; Pseudomonadota; Gammaproteobacteria; Pseudomonadales; Pseudomonadaceae. The record is from RNAcentral.